Molecule: long non-coding RNA, 987 nt
Filed under: Marmota monax (woodchuck)
Lineage: Eukaryota; Metazoa; Chordata; Mammalia; Rodentia; Sciuridae
Source: RNAcentral
GAACUUUUAUUAUCUUUGCACUGAUUUUUCUCAAAAUUUCAGCACAUGAAUUUUGGUGUACUUUAUACUCACAAACAAACAGGGCACUUUGGGUCUUUGCUCUGAUUUCCUACAGGUAACAUUCUUUGAACAUCUAAUGCAGAAAGGAUUUGAUUGUUACAUUGUAUGUUAUCUUCUCCUGGUCCUGUUACUCUGGCCUGUAUAGGCAUCCAGUAGAAUCCAUGAAGAGAGUACAGACAGCUGACUGGAUGAAGACGACAGUGGGGGGGAAAAAAAACUCCCAUUGUUUAGAUUUCUGUCAGAGGAUAUAAGAAUAUUUAAUUUCUUUUUAUCUCUGGGGCUUUCAUUAUCAUUUAAAUUUCAUUUUACAUUAAUUGAUCAGGGAUUAGUAAAGCCAUUAUGCAGAAAUUAGAAUAAGACAAGCCAGAUGGAAUGAAUAAUUCAUAAAGUCCAAUUACGUUUUAUUUCUGGUGUACUUUCAAACUUGCCUCUGACUUCUGUGCUAUUUUGAUGUGACAAUAUUCACUGGAAAUCAAGAGUGCCAUUUUAAUUUAUUGUAUCCCUCUGGAGUGGAGGCAUUUGUAUGCAAUGGGAGUAUGUUAACGCAUUUCUCCUCAGAACACCACUUUUAGGGUUCUUGGAAAGACAGAUCUAGAAAAUAUGGCUCAUUUUCUCUAUAGAAGUUUAGGGGUACUACAAGGAGCCUCACCAGUCCACUUGAUUUGGGCGAACUACUCCCAACUAGAGAGGCUAAGGUCUUGGGACCGCGAAAUUUUCACCUCCUAGAAGAGAUAUAGCCCCUUUUAAAAUGUUUGUCCCCAUCCCCCGCCACCAAAGAACCGUUAAAAUACGAAUUUGGCCUGGAGUUGGACUGGAAGCCGCAGGAGCUGGUGCAGCUGCAGGCCGCGACCACGAGGUGGCAGGCGUUGCCUUCGAUGCACGGGGCUCGGGCUCCGGGAGCGCCGAGGCUUCGGAGCUACCCCGCAG